Long non-coding RNA from Dermochelys coriacea (leatherback sea turtle), 2200 nucleotides. RefSeq lists it as uncharacterized. Lineage: Eukaryota; Metazoa; Chordata; Testudines; Dermochelyidae. The record is from RefSeq and is a predicted model, not a curated record. The transcript has 3 exons.
CACCUCUUCACUCAUACCAUACUUUAUGCAAAUGAGUAUUAUAGGCUUCAUGAAAGCCUUGCAAAAUGAAGCAUCUUGUAUAUAGCCAGACUGUCAUAUUGUAAUUUGCAGUGCCUGUGAAGAGAUGGCUAAACUAAACAAGCUAGCAAUUAUUUGGUUAUGAAAUUUGGUAUAAAAAUAGCAUGUAAAGGUUCAGUAAAUUAGAAAUGGCAAGUUAUACUGAUGCACUUUGUAAAAUAACAGUUGUUCAGAAUCUGAUCUCAGGGACAGGCUAAUACUGAUGUAACUGAGAUGAGAAGCUGCCCUUUUGUUAUAAUCUCAUUAUUAUACCUAUUGUUUUGGGAAAUGCUGUACAGCAUAAACACACACUGCAAUGUCAUAACCAUUUUAAUGCAUCCAUAACUGACUAUCUGGUUGCAUUGUGGUGCAUUCUUUAUCCACCUCUAAUAAUAGUUUAUAGUAAAGCUUGUGACUGGUAGUUUUAAUGAGAAAUUAAACACUGUAAAACAUCAAAAUAAUUCAAUGCUUACUAGUAAGAAUUUUACCAUGAACAUUUCUCUGUAAAUUGUAGCCUAGAACAAAGAAACGUCACUUAACUUGCAUGUGUUUAACAAGGCUGAAAUGUCUGCUGAGUUGGCCAAGGCAAAAUGUUUUAAAUUUUACUCCUCUAAAUGGGGGGCCAUCAUUUUUAGCCUUUCUCCUCCUCUUGAUGACAUUAACUUGUACUAGCAAAGUUGUUCCUGUAACAGGUAACUUAUCAAAUCUUUAUCAGUUACAGAAUAUGUAGUGAAAACAGGAGACCAUAUGACUGAUCAGCUCAAACGCCAGAGGAGCUUUUGGAGAAUUGGAUCUCUUUCUAUAUGAGACAUCUGUGUAUCUUAGUGCCACAGAUGGGAUUGUUACAAAGGCCUAAUUACUAUUUUUAAGGGAUGGAACUCAAAACCAUCAGAAAAUCUCAUGUCUCUAUUGUAUGAAGACUGAACAGAUCAACAUGAAAUGACUUCCGGCAGCAAUUGUUGGACAUUAAACAGCAAGGCUGUGUUCAUUAUGGAAGAUAUCUCGCUGCUGAGGGUGAGCAGGGAAUCAAGGGAGGGUCUUCUCCAAGACUGCGGCUUCUGCCCUGGCCCUUAUGAGGCUCGCCUGUGUGCAGCAAUGGUUCCUCCCCCUCUCCCUUCCAGUAAUGGCAGAGCGAUGCAGGAAAGUUACCAUUAAUGGGGCAAGAAACAAAGCAGCUCUGCCAAAGAACCUGUGGCAGUGGAUUGCCCAGUAUCUCCAUGAGAGUUUCGUGGAGAUCUCUGAGGCAGAGGGAGUCUAUCAACAGCCUGUUCUGCCACUCAAACUAGGCAUGUAGUGGUAUGUGCAUCAUACAGACACAAGCCAGCUUUCUGCAACCCUCCUGUCCCCAAUAACUCUCUCCAGCGAUUCCCAGAAUCGAAUCAACUUACCAGGGGCCUCCUCUCCUGUUUUGCGCUUCACCGAGAUCCAACAGCUGUGACUGGCUAGCCUCCUCCAGGGCAGAAAAGAGCUCCUGGCUGCAUGCAUCUCUGACCUCCGAGUCAUCUUUUGCCUCUGGGUCUCCCUUCCCCUCCACAUCCUCAUCCAAGAUUUCCUCCUCCUGGCUUUGUCCACUCUUGACUGGCACACGAGCCACUGAAGUAUCCACAGUGGCCUUUGCAGUGGAGGUGGGGUCACCACCAAGUAUAGUUUCCAGCUCUUUGUAGAACCGGCAGCUCAUGGGUGUGGCACCAGAGUGGUGGUUUGCCUCCCACGCCAUGUGUUCUGCAGCUCCAUCACUUUAACCCUGCACUGCAAUGUGUCCCGCUCAUGGCCCCUUUCUGUCAUGCAAUGUGAAAUCUGACCAUAGGUAUCAAAAUUCCUAUGGCUGGAGCACAGCUGGGACUGGACGGCCUCCUCUCCCCAAAUGCUGAUGAGGUCCAGCAGCUCGGCAUUGCUCCAAGUAGGGGAUGGCCAUAUGCAUGAAGCAGGCAUGGCCACUUGGAAAGAUGCACUAAGAUAACUGCACACAUCACCGAGCAAACAGGAAGGGGACUUUCAAAAUUCCAAAGGCAUUUCAGGGGUGGAGAUGAUGAUUGGUCACUAGAGAGCAGGGCAGUAAAGUUCAAACCGAUGACCAGAGAGGCAAGAACAGGCAUUGUGGGACACCUCCCGGAAGCCAAUUGCAGCGCUGAAAUCGACCAGG